CAAAAACAUAACCAUAUGUAUGCACAUAUGGCGUUUUCUGCUCAAUGAUACUUAAAUAGCCGCAGUACUCUGACUGUGCAAAGGUAGCAUAAUAAAUUGGCUUUUAAUUGAAGUCUAGAAUGAACGAAUACAUGGGGAAUAGCUGUCUCAUCAGUGUAUAAUGAAUUUACUUAAUAUGUGCAAAUUCAUAUAAAUAAAUAAUAGACGAGAAGACCCUAGAAAUUUUUACUAAUAAAUAAAAAACUGUUUUUGCUGGGGCGGCAUAGUAACAGAUAACUUGCAAUAUUUUACAUGAAGCAAUAUUUGCAGCCAGAUUAAAUUACUCUAGGGAUAACAGCAUAAUUUACUAUAGUUUGUGACCUCGAUGUUGGAUUAGGAAGUUGAAGUUUAGAAGAUUUACAAAUUUGCUCUGUUCGAGCAAUUUUUCCUACGUGAUCUGA
RNAcentral lists this ribosomal RNA (440 nucleotides) under Cattania inflata. RNAcentral's name for it is "partial 16S ribosomal RNA". It matches the Rfam family "Archaeal large subunit ribosomal RNA", at positions 1900 to 2677 of the family's 2987-position model. Lineage: Eukaryota; Metazoa; Mollusca; Gastropoda; Stylommatophora; Helicidae. The record is from RNAcentral.